Meriones unguiculatus (Mongolian gerbil) is the source of this 650-nucleotide long non-coding RNA. RefSeq lists it as uncharacterized. The record is from RefSeq and is a predicted model, not a curated record. The transcript has 2 exons. Lineage: Eukaryota; Metazoa; Chordata; Mammalia; Rodentia; Muridae.
AGCACAGUUCAGUCUGGGACAGUGAUCAGAGCACUCUGGCAUGUGGCUCUGUGCUGGCGACCAAGUGCCUGGGGGAACCGGGAUCUCAUCCGAGGUUUAGCUGGACAGGAGCCUAUGACUGUCAGCUGGGAGGCUCCACCCAGCAUCGGACCAAGACUUGCAGCCACGCAUGGAGCAGAAUUCCAGAGAUCCUGUGGAAGUGUUGGGAGAAAGACAGAAGGACCUGGAGGGGACAGGAACCUUACAAGAAGAUCAACAGAGACAACCAACCCAGACACACAGAGGCUUACAAAUACUGAGACAUUGACUAAGGAGCAUGCAUGGUCUGGACCUAGGCCCCUGCACAGAUGUGGCCCAUGGGCGGCUUGAUCUUCAUGUGGAGCACCUGGCAAGUGGAAGGUGGGCUGUUUUUACCUGUUUCUGACUCUAUUGCCUGCUUUUCAAUCACUUCUCCCUGGCAGCUCUGCCUUGCCUGGCCUCAGAGGAUGAGGAUAUGCUCAGUCCUGAUGUGACUUAUGCUGGAGAGGGUUGAUAUGGGGGAGGGGACCACCCUUUUCUGGGGGAAAGAGAGAGGGGAAGGGGAAUGAAGGGGGAGGGGGACAACCCUUGGGAUGUAAAACAAAUAAACUUAAAUAAAAAUUUUAAGAAAA